This 444-nucleotide ribosomal RNA is filed under the name Anaerotignum lactatifermentans. RNAcentral describes it as "bacterial SSU rRNA". It matches the Rfam family "Bacterial small subunit ribosomal RNA", at positions 338 to 796 of the family's 1533-position model. Lineage: Bacteria; Bacillati; Bacillota; Clostridia; Lachnospirales; Anaerotignaceae. The record is from RNAcentral.
CCUACGGGAGGCAGCAGUGGGGAAUAUUGCACAAUGGGCGAAAGCCUGAUGCAGCAACGCCGCGUGAAGGAUGAAGGGUUUCGGCUCGUAAACUUCUAUCAAUAGGGAAGAAAGAAAUGACGGUACCUAAAUAAGAAGCCCCGGCUAACUACGUGCCAGCAGCCGCGGUAAUACGUAGGGGGCAAGCGUUAUCCGGAAUUACUGGGUGUAAAGGGAGCGUAGGCGGCAUGGUAAGCCAGAUGUGAAAGCCUUGGGCUUAACCCGAGGAUUGCAUUUGGAACUAUCAAGCUAGAGUACAGGAGAGGAAAGCGGAAUUCCUAGUGUAGCGGUGAAAUGCGUAGAUAUUAGGAAGAACACCAGUGGCGAAGGCGGCUUUCUGGACUGAAACUGACGCUGAGGCUCGAAAGCGUGGGGAGCAAACAGGAUUAGAUACCCUGGUAGUCC